CACACAUAAAAAUGUAAGUCGCUUUGGAUGAAAGCAUCUACUAAAUGGCAUAUA
This is a non-coding RNA of Salmo salar (Atlantic salmon), 54 nucleotides long. The record is from Rfam. NCBI's taxonomy places the organism in Eukaryota, Metazoa, Chordata, Actinopteri, Salmoniformes, Salmonidae.